Molecule: long non-coding RNA, 531 nt
Filed under: Ananas comosus (pineapple)
Lineage: Eukaryota; Viridiplantae; Streptophyta; Magnoliopsida; Poales; Bromeliaceae
Description: long non-coding RNA (ACOM_LNC008085)
Source: RNAcentral
UAUAAAGGUAUAAUCAUCGAUUAUUGUAUUAUUAAGUUAAUUUUUUUUUUUAGAUAAAGGUAUCACGCUACCUACUUUAUUUAUUGGAUAAAUGAACUAGGCUACAGGAGUGAGGCAACCCGGGCCCCGAAGAUUUAAAAAAAAAGAAAGAAGGUUAGAGCUUACAUAGCGAGAAGUGAAUCUCACUCCUUUGCCUGCUGUUUGAGAUUACGAAUCGCCGUUUCCGGAUUCGGAUGAGUUUUCCUAAAGAUGAAGUCAUUUCUGACCUUCCAAGCGAUCCACCAGCAAUAAACUAAAUCAGUUAGACUGUUACUUUUCAUAUGAAGGCCGUUCCUGGCUGCCCAUAUGUCCCAAACUAGAUUCACCUCGUCCCCCAGAUCUUGUGUUUGCACAUCAUUUAUCCCCAUAACUAAUAAAAACUUAGUAAAAACGCACUGGAAGAACAAGUAGUCCACAGUUUUAUCCUUCGAUCCACAUAGUACACAUCAUGCAUCUUGAAUCCACCCUCUCUUAAGAAGCGUAUCUCUCGUA